CAGCCGCCGCGGUAAUACGUAGGUGGCAAGCGUUGUCCGGAAUUAUUGGGCGUAAAGGGCCCGCAGGCGGUUUCUUAAGUCUGAUGUGAAAGCCCCCGGCUCAACCGGGGAGGGUCAUUGGAAACUGGGAAACUUGAGUGCAGAAGAGGAGAGUGGAAUUCCACGUGUAGCGGUGAAAUGCGUAGAGAUGUGGAGGAACACCAGUGGCGAAGGCGACUCUCUGGUCUGUAACUGACGCUGAGGAGCGAAAGCGUGGGGAGCGAACAGGAUUAGAGACCCGCGUAGUCCCUGUCUCUUAUAC
RNAcentral lists this ribosomal RNA (301 nucleotides) under uncultured bacterium. RNAcentral's name for it is "partial 16S ribosomal RNA". It matches the Rfam family "Bacterial small subunit ribosomal RNA", at positions 509 to 807 of the family's 1533-position model. The record is from RNAcentral.